This 3178-nucleotide long non-coding RNA is filed under the name Amborella trichopoda. Its description in RNAcentral is "long non-coding RNA (ATRI_LNC001126)". Lineage: Eukaryota; Viridiplantae; Streptophyta; Magnoliopsida; Amborellales; Amborellaceae. The record is from RNAcentral.
GCCGAUUUUGCAAAAAUAGGCUGAUCAUUUAAACACUGAUCAAAACAAUCAUAUAUAUCAAAAUAAUAUGUAGAGUUAGAAGAAAAGUUUACCAACGAACAAAACAAAAUAAUUCUUUAAGCCUAGAGUAUCCUUAUAAGGAGCAAGAUAGAAAUUCGAUGAUACUAAAGAUUUAGGCGGAUGAAAAUUCAGCAUGAGAUUUGAAGUUGCUUAAGCAUUUUGUUGCUUUCUUUAUGCAUAGUAAAAUGAUUUUAUAUUUUUAUUUUUUGUCUUUUCAUUUCUUUGGUGUAUACAAUACAGUAUUUUGGAUGGACCACUAUUUUACAUAUUAGGGUCUUUGUUUUUAGUUUUAGUUAACUGCAAUCCUUUACUGAGGGUCUAUUUUGUUUUUUUUAUUUUUCAAACAAUAAUCUAUACCAUGGUUUACAAUUCUUGUUAUUUACUAAUGUAGUUCUAUAUAUUUAAUAUUAUUCCUGUUUCAUUUUAUGCUUCUAAUAAAUAUAAGAUGUGUUUUGUAUUACAACAAUAGAAUAAUUAUUGUUGUUGGAUUUAUUGAAAGUUUAGAUAAUAAAUUGUCAAGUAUUAUGCUAACAACACUAGGUAAGGCCAUAAAAUUAUUGUUCAAUGACUUAAUGUAUCUAUAAAAGAACUGCAAAUCAUUAUUCUAUGUAAUGCCAUCUUUUCAUAUCCGAUUAUUUCACUCCAUUUUUUUAAGCCAAAUUCGAAAUAUUCACAAUUCUAUAAGUACUUUUGACUUGAUUUUGUCCUCGGACUUUCUAAAAUAAAACUGAUUGUUACCGAUGUUUUGGUUCGUCGAUAUAUUGUUAUUCCCUGACUUGCUAACUAUGGUAUUGACCAUACAUAUGUUUUAUGAAUGGAAAAUGGUUUGAUAGGGCUGCAGCCCUAUCAAAAUAAGUAAAGCCUCACCACAUAAAGCAUCAAAAAUUGCAAUUCAAGCAUCAAAUUUUUUUUACAGCAAUCAUCUCAGUUUGAACAUUAUGUUCGUGAAAAUAAAAGUAAAAAUUCAAGCUCUAAAAGUAGUGUAUCUUGUAACUCUUGUAACAAAUAAUCUUAGACUAUCUAUUUCACUCAAAAAAUAGGUGUCUAAUGUCAACAAGAUCUAUAUCAUUUUUUUUAGUUUUAAAUUUUAUUUUGGUGUAGAAAAUCAAUUUUAGAGCCACCAUGGAGAUUUCUAUUAACGAAAGUGUUUUUCAAACGAGAUUUUAGCAUGAGGAUUUAUUUUGUUUCAUAAAGUCUAGGCCUCAUAGAAACUUCAUCCUUUAUGAGAACUUGAGCAUGUUAUUGUAAUAUUCUAGACUAGAUGACAAACCUGUGCCCACUGUUUUUUAUUUUUUGGGUAAUUCAGUGGGUAAGAUAGGUCAAAAAUUGCAAUUCAAGCAUCAAAUUUUUUUUACUUCGAUAAUCUUAGCUUGAACAUUAUGUUUGUAAAAAUAAAAAUAAAAAGUGAAGCUCUAAAAAUAGUGUAUCUUGUAACAAAUAAUCUUAGACUAUCUAUUUCAUUCAAAAAAUAAGUGUUUAAUGAUCAACAAGAUCUAUAUCAUUUUUUUUUAGUUUCAAAUUUUAUUUUGGCGUUAAAAAUCAUUUUUAGAGCCAUCAUGGAGAUUUCUAUUGCCAAAAGUGUUUUUCAAACGAGAUUUUAGCAUGAGGAUUUAUUUUGUUUCAUAAAGCCUAGGCCUCAAAGAAAUUUCAUCCUUUAAGAGAACUUGAGCAUGUUAUUGUAAUAUUCUAGACAACGUGACAAACUUGUGCCCACUUUUUUUUAUUUUUGGGGUAAUUCAGUGGGUAAGAUAAGCCCUUACCUGUUUUUUUAAAUAGAUUAGAAGUUAGAUUUUUGAAAGUGUAAGUGGGUUACUGUUAGUGGUAGGAAUGGAAACCACAAUGUGGUGAUUAGGUAUGGGGAAGCUAUCACUACGACCCUAGCCCGUGUCCUAAUUUUUUUUGGGUGAGUAAGUGGGGAGAGAGUCCUUCCUCUUCAUAGGAAUUGAGCUUAGGACGUAGCAUUAGAAAUCGUCAGGCGCUAACCAAUUAAGCCCGGGCUCUUUUCCUAAAGUAAGAAUUAGAAAUUCUAAAGUGGGAAUUAAGGGUGGGACGGUAAGUUGAAGCAUCAACCCCCAACACGUUUAUGCAUAAUCAGAUUUUCAAUAGAAAAGGGACCUUAUACUCUAAAGAACUCCUCUAUUUAAUGGACAAGAUUUAUAUGUGUCGGCCUACCCAUCUAUUUAAAUACAUCUUCUUUAAAAGAAUCCAGGGGUCGCAAUGGACACGGACCCGACCUGGGACCCAUGGGGUAGACCUGAUCCAGGUCUGGGUAUGGGUUCAUAAAUUGGACUUGGUAGGUCGGGUCCGGGUCUAAAUCUUCGACCUGAGCACUAUUCAGGUCUGGGCCUGAUAAUAUUUUUUGGGUCUCAAUAUAUAAAAUUUAUUUAAAUAUAGUUAACUUCAUAUGUAUUCUAAUUUUUGGGUCGGGAUCCGUCCCGUUGCUACCCCUAAAAAAAGUCUAUUUUAGAGAUGGAUCUUGUCUUCAAAUUUUUCUUUUUUCUCUUUUUUUUUUUGGCAAUAAUCUCUCUUCAAAAUUUUUUCUUUUUUCUCUUUUUUUUUUGGCAAUAAUCUCUCUUCAAAAUUUUAGUGAAAGUGGAAAAUCUCAAGAAGCAAGAAUCUGAGAAAAAAAAAUAUAUUUUUAUACAAUUAUAACACCAAUAAUUUUAAAUUAUGGUUGGGCUAACAUUUUCUAACAUCCAUAUUGUAAUGGAUGUUUAAUAGAAGUGCAUCCCCUAACGCAAGUUCAAAGCCAUUUUAGCAAGACCAUAAAAGAGAGCACUGUGUUGAAGCUGGACAUAUUUUAGACUCAACCAAUGAUUUAAAAAGCGGAUCGAUGACCCGGAUCAGCCAUCUCAAAAACCAAUCCGAAUCGAUGAAUUGGCGAUCCGGAUUGGGAAUCGGCUGAAUGGGUCGGAUUAAAGCUUCAAAAAAAUCCGAAAAAUUUAUUAAAAUUUAUUAUAAAUAUUGUUUUUUAGGAAUCCAAUAAGAAAUGAGGGUACUACAUUAUUAACUUUCAUUUUUUUCAUCAAUUUGUGAAUAUUGAGAUGCUCUUUCCCUGUAUAAACUUAAGUAUUAAAUUUGCAUCACAUAAAAGAAAAAUCAUAGAAUUAUCAUGGAU